Molecule: ribosomal RNA, 376 nt
Filed under: uncultured Campylobacterota bacterium
Lineage: Bacteria; Pseudomonadati; Campylobacterota
Description: bacterial SSU rRNA
Rfam family: Bacterial small subunit ribosomal RNA
Source: RNAcentral
UAAUACGGAGGGUGCAAGCGUUACUCGGAAUCACUGGGCGUAAAGCGCAUGCAGGCGGCCAGAUAAGUUGGAAGUGAAAGCCUACGGCUCAACCGUAGAACUGCUUCCAAAACUGUUUGGCUAGAGUCUGGGAGGGGAAGAUGGAAUUAGUAGUGUAGGGGUAAAAUCCGUAGAGAUUACUAGGAAUACCAAAAGCGAAGGCGAUCUUCUGGAACAGUACUGACGCUGAGAUGCGAAAGCGUGGGGAGCAAACAGGAUUAGAUACCCUGGUAGUCCACGCAGUAAACGAUGAAUGUUAGUCGUUGGUAUCCUAGAGAUAUCAGUGAUGCAGUUAACACAUUAAACAUUCCGCCUGGGGAGUACGGUCGCAAGAUUA